Molecule: signal recognition particle RNA, 263 nt
Filed under: Chloroflexota bacterium
Lineage: Bacteria; Bacillati; Chloroflexota
Also listed under: 1 other name
Description: Chloroflexi bacterium signal recognition particle sRNA large type
Rfam family: Bacterial large signal recognition particle RNA
About the family: The signal recognition particle (SRP) is a universally conserved ribonucleoprotein involved in the co-translational targeting of proteins to membranes. Archaeal SRP consists of a 7S RNA and homologues of the eukaryotic SRP19 and SRP54 proteins.
Source: RNAcentral
CCGUGCUAGGCGGGGAACUAGCGGUGCCCUGAACCUGCAAUCCGCUCCAGCAGGGCUGAAUCCCCUCCCGAGGUCCCCGAUCCCGACAGCCGCCGCCCGUGCGACGUCGAGGACCGGGUCCCGCGCAGCGGCGACUCGUGAACCGUGUCAGGUCCGGAAGGAAGCAGCACUAAACGAUCUUCGUCGGGUGCCGCGGAACGGCCUGGUCUGAGUCGCUCGGACGGAUGGGCAUCGGGAAGACCGGAUCGACGGAGGGUGCACGG